RNAcentral lists this ribosomal RNA (478 nucleotides) under uncultured bacterium. Its description in RNAcentral is "bacterial SSU rRNA". It matches the Rfam family "Bacterial small subunit ribosomal RNA", at positions 28 to 405 of the family's 1533-position model. The record is from RNAcentral.
GACUAACGCUGGCGGCGUGCCUAACACAUGCAAGUCGAGCGGUUUCUGAACCGGAGACCGGAGCUCAGAGACAUAAGAAGGGGAAAGCGGCAGGAGAGCCCGAGAGGGAAGGAAUGGCGAAGCGACCUGAAGGAUAUGUGUCUGGAUUCCGGCUCUGGUUCAGAGACAGCGGCGGACGGGUGAGUAACGCGUGGGCAACCUGCCCUGCACAGUGGGAUAACACCGUGAAAACGGUGCUAAUACCGCAUGAGACAAUAGUGAGACAUCUCACAGUUGUCAAAGGAGAAAUCCGGUGCAGGAUGGGCCCGCGUCCAAUUAGCUAGUUGGUGAGAUAACAGCCCACCAAGGCGACGAUUGGUAGCCGAGCUGAGAGGUUGAUCGGCCACAUUGGGAUUGAGAACGGCCCAGACUCCUACGGGAGGCAGCAGUGGGGAAUAUUGCGCAAUGGGGAAACCCUGACGCAGCAACGCCGCGUGAA